AUCGUCUUUUAUAGCCUAUGAUAGCUGCUAUCCGCCACUAUAAAUGCUAAGUUAUCAUAAAAUGUCUCUAGAAAAGAUUCGGUACCUUUGAUAAAUGGUAUUUUACGCGCCGUUAUGAUGUAACGCCAUCUCCACUUGUAAUUGAAAAUGAAAAUUUACUAGAAUGAGAAGUUUGUAUAAAAAUAUUGGGUUAGUUUAGAAAGUUUUACAAUUUUUAACUGUUAAUUCAUCCUUAUUGCAAUUUUUUCGCGAAUUAUUCCACUUGAAUAAUAUUGUAUUCUACCCGAAUGCAAAACUAUGGAAAGUUUUGUUUCAAAUAUGUAAAUAGAUGUGUAAUACAUGCAAUAUGAAGAUACUUGGAUUUAAUAAAGGUCAUAGAAUCCAAACAUUAAUCUGGUGUAUAAGGGGCAAGGGAAAAUGCAACUGGACGCACAGAUCUUAAAAUUGACAAUUUGGAUCGUGGGUUUGAAGACUUUGAAGCAUUGCGCACGCAAGUGUAAUUGAAAAGCGACUAUAGUAGCCAGUGCCGGCUAGUCAAGUGCUGCUAUGUUAUGGGCACAUUUUUUUCGAAUAAAAAAUAUUUCUGGACAUUUGAAUCCUACGAAAAUAUCACUAGAUUUUUCCCAUUAACUUCGUUGUUACUAUGGAAGUAUAAAAGGAAGGAACAAGCACUUGAACCAUAAAGAGAAGCCUGAAGUAUGUUUAACUUAUGGUAAGAUGCUUGGAGUCGAAGUGCGACCAAUCUAUACGUUCUAGUUUUAAUAAAAUGACAUCGCAAAAUGAGAUUACUGAUCGUGAGUUAUUAAUAUCGAAAAUUAAAACCAGGCGAGCCCUUUGGAAUGAUAGUUGUUUUCUUUUGAAGUUGAUCCUUGAUUUUUCCUAGAAUGUAAUCAAACGUUUACACUGACAUUCUUAAAGACUGAAAAAAAUCUUAUUGGAUCACUGCGAAGUUCAUGAUAAAGGUGAUGGAAUUCAACAUAAGAAAGUCUAUUUCUAUUAAGUUCAUGAACGCCUUGUAUUGUUUUGCUUUUCUUUAAAAUUAGCCUUCGCAGUCGUGUACGUUCUAUAAGUAAUAAUAGUUUGGAUACCAAAUUCAUUACGUUCUUUUGGUUCUAAAGAUAGAAAAUAACUAAAAUGAUGCUUAACCGAUUUGAACAGGACAACGCGCGCGAUGACAUCGCAAAAGCGGUAUCGCUCGACGCACACCAACACUCACAAUUACACUCCCCGACGUGCGUUUCGAUAACCAAGUUAUCGUCUUCAGAGACUGAAAGUAAUCAGUGACAUGCGUUGCUAGCCAAGAGAAGUACUUUUAAAGAUAUUAAUUCCUGGAAUUUGUAGUUUUAGACUCAGAUUACUUAAAAAUUUGUCCUGGUAAUUGCAAUUCUGCACUGAUCAUUACUCCAAACAAAAUCUUAAUCUCUUAAAAAACA
This is an RNA transcript of Diorhabda carinulata, 1433 nucleotides long. It is a transcript of the gene named cuticle protein 70, isoforms A and B-like, with no coding region annotated. The record is from RefSeq and is a predicted model, not a curated record. Lineage: Eukaryota; Metazoa; Arthropoda; Insecta; Coleoptera; Chrysomelidae. The transcript is spliced from 2 exons.